Long non-coding RNA from Silurus meridionalis, 979 nucleotides. RefSeq lists it as uncharacterized. The transcript has 3 exons. Lineage: Eukaryota; Metazoa; Chordata; Actinopteri; Siluriformes; Siluridae. The record is from RefSeq and is a predicted model, not a curated record.
GGGUACAGAAGUACAUACUGUAGGGUCCUUUUGAAUCCACAGUUGGGAAAGUGACCUUUCUUCUCUAAUACUUCUCUUGCAUCUGAUCCCACCUUCUGCCCAAGGCCAGAAAAGAUCAGGAAAGGUGUCUGCCUCUCAAGCAGAGAAGCACCUUGUUGUCUUCAAGAAGAGUGGAACAAACAUUGAGGAGCAUUUGUGAGAAAUCACAGCUAUUGCUAAGCCCUACCUCCUGGCCGUGGGACCUCAGAAGAAUUCAGUUCACCAGUACUUCAUCGUUCUUGAUCAGCCAUUCCAUGCUAGUCAACCUUUUCUCUUGGUGACUUUGAGGAGUUGAUUAAGGCACACUUUGUUUUUGGCUCCUCUUACAACAUUACAAGCCUCUUACAAGCCUCGCCUUUAAGAUGCUGCCUCAGAAGCAACACUACGAUCUCUUAGGGCACUAUAUCCAUGGUCGUCUACGACUGAAGGAGGCCUACUACUACAACAUUAUGCUACACAACAUGUACACUUUCAUUCAGACCACUGUGUACAACAUAGAUGUUGGCAAAGUGAAAGAGAGUUCUCGUGUUGCUGAGGUCAGAGCAAGGCUGCUUAGCUCAGUACCAUAAGUUAUUCUGCCCUCAUGAAGUGUUUUGUUCAAGUUACUUGGUUUAAAAUUGCUUCUUAGGCACUUCAGAUUAGUUCAUGGUUUUGUACCUGGAAAGUUAUUUUUGAGAUUCAGAGUCAGGCCCAGGAUGCUGCUUUGCUCCGUCUGUCUCCACAUGACAUUGCUAAUAAAAGGAAAACAGAAAGUUCAAUUGAAAAUGAGAAAAAUCUAGUUUAAUUCGGAAGCCAAACGAAAGAGACUUUUUUCAGAGAAAUGGGGAACUGAUGAACCAACUGAAAUAGUGCUCAGCACAAGAUUUGAUAGCAGGAGAAAUAAAACCACUGAAACAUUUUAUCAAGUUGUUGUAACAGAUAAAUUUGAUUAUACAGUGGA